UUUAAAAAAAAUACAAUUAACACAAGGGACGUCUCUUGAUUAGGCGAUGCAAGAACUGUGUCUUAGCAUACACGUGUCGCUCUCUCUUGUCUUCCUCUCUCGGUCUCUAUCUCUUCAUCUUGUGUCUGCUCUAAGCCAUUGAUCGGAUCUCCGUUUGAUGCUUGAUUGAUUUAGAAUCGAUGUUUGAUUGAUUUAGAAUCGGGUCAGAUGAGGGAUUGGUGAUCCGGGAGCACUCGGGGCUUACUUUAGAGGAGGUCAGAGAAGAAGUUCUUCUUCUCCGAGGAUCCAAGAGUGUUGGAGGCGGCGUGUGCGUUGUCGGGGUUUGGGUUUCCUUGGAAUAAGCUUGGGAGGUUGUAUAAAGAGGAAAGAUCUGUUUUUUUUUUUUUUUUUGGCAGAGUGGGGAUGAGAUUGGUUUGGUGCUGGGUAGGUUGAAUGGUUUGGGGUUUAGUACUGUGGCUGAGGCUGGUGUUUGUUUAGCGUUUCCGAGUGUUCUGCGUUGUUUGUUUGUUAAGCUGAGGAGUUUGGUUCAGAGGAUGUUGUUGAAGAGAAUGUGGAGUCUUGGUACGCCUUUGGUAGGAAGGUUAGGGUGUUUUACGAUUUGGGGUUUGAGAGUGAGGAGAUGUGGGAGUUGAUGGGUAGAAACAGAUCAUUGUUUAUGGAAUGUUCAGAAGAAGCUCUUGUGAACAAGACUGAUUAUUUUUGUAGAUUUGGUAUUGGGAAAGAGGAAGCUGCUCUUUUGAUUCUACGAAAUCCUGAUGUUAUGAGUUUUGAUUUAGAGAAGCCUGUGAUCUCAAUUAAAGGAGUGCUGGAUUGAGUGAGGACGAAGUGGAUGCUCUUUCUCUGAAGCACCUCUCACGUUUUUGUUAGAAACAAGAUGAAGAAUCUGGUUUAUUUAUUGGCUUAUUUUCAUUCAGUUGCAUAUUUUGUUUUAUUUAUUGGCUUAUUUUGGGGGUUGUUAGUGUUGCAUUGAGUUUUAUUAUUUGAUCGUGCACUAUCUCUCCACUUAUCUGGUUUUGGUAUUAAUGUCCUCAAAUUAACAGUCAUGCUUCUGUUUCUUGUUCUUGUUUGUUGUUAUUUUCUGUCUUGUGUUGUGUUUAAUACAAAAGCUUAAUUUCUGUGUUGUGUUUAUUCAGAAUAUAGCUGCUGGCAAACAGGAAGAAGGUACGCUCAUCACUAGGCAAACUCGCAUACUCGAAGGUAGAACUAGAAGAUGAUGGUUCAGUUUCUGAAGUGGACAAGGACAUCAGUCUAUUGAAGCACGAAUCAAGCGUUUCUUUUUCCGGGGUAGUACCACGAGAAUAGAGACUCAGUUUAAUUUAACGGCUUCAAAUUGCUGAAGAUGCAGCCUGAGGUCUGGUGAACCUUAUUCGGAGAACAUUUCACGGAUGCGGUUGGGAGUCCAUUCUCCAUUUCGGCUGAAGUUCUGACCAAGGAUUACGAUCCAUAACCACUUAUUUGGAGCACGGGUGCGAUGAUUUAAAUGCUACUCUGGCUCCAGCUUUGGUUUGUGAGAAACGUAAGAAGAAAUCUUUGAGUGCGGUUUGGGAGGGUACACUUGAUUAAUCAUCAGAUCUUAGGCCACAAGUGUUUGAAUGGCUAAUAUCUUAUAAGAAAGAUGCUCGAGAGAGACCCAAGCGAAGUCUUGUUGCUCAACAAAUCUUGCUUUUUCAGGUCUUCCAUGAAUGCACCAGAUACACCGUCAAGAGUCGCUUGAAGAAUUUUUCAGCAAUAGACAAGCAAACAUGAUCAAUGUUGCUGAAUCAAUUUUAGAAUAGAUCUAUAACCGUCUAUGAUGAACCUAAGUAACACGAACCAAAUUAUCAAAUUUAGAACUGUGAAGUUUUUUUGGAUUAGGUUUUGAUAUUGGAGUUUUAAUCAGUGUUUCAUCUAAAGUCUUGUUUUUGUGAAAAACAGGUGUUUGAUCUAAAGUUAUUUAUUUUUA
Brassica napus (rape) is the source of this 1942-nucleotide long non-coding RNA. RefSeq lists it as uncharacterized. NCBI's taxonomy places the organism in Eukaryota, Viridiplantae, Streptophyta, Magnoliopsida, Brassicales, Brassicaceae. The transcript has 5 exons. The record is from RefSeq and is a predicted model, not a curated record.